CUCAUUAAAUCAGUUAUAGUUUAUUUGAUGGUCUCUUUUGUCUUUUUUUACCUACUUGGAUAACCGUGGUAAUUCUAGAGCUAAUACAUGCGCAAGGUCCCGAGCGCGGGGGGCGGGGCUUCACGGCCUCGUUCUCGCAUGCGCAGAGGGAUGUAUUUAUUAGGUUAAACAACCAGCAUUUUUUCUAUUUCUGGUGAUUCAUAGUAACUCUUUCGGAUCGCAUUCAUG
Molecule: ribosomal RNA, 228 nt
Filed under: uncultured Acanthamoeba
Lineage: Eukaryota; Discosea; Longamoebia; Acanthamoebidae
Description: partial 18S ribosomal RNA
Rfam family: Eukaryotic small subunit ribosomal RNA
Source: RNAcentral